AGAGUGAAAGCUGCCAGGAGGUAAUGGAGGAGUGUGACUCUGAACCAAGACCUAGCAUCCAAGUAGAGGAAUGAGCUGGGAAGAGAUUGCCAAAUUCAGUCUGGAAGACUCGACUAAAUACAUGUGGACUUAGAAACUGGUGUGCUACAGGAUGGCAGACAAAGACAUCAGAUCCUCUGGAACUAGAGUUCUUGACAGUCUCCAGCCACUGUGUGAGUGCUGGGAAUCGAACUCAAGUUGUCUGGAAGAAGAGUCAGGUCUUAACCACUGAGCCAUCUCUCCAGCAUCCCUCAAAACAUGUAGGGACCACCCCAUGAGCCGAGCCGGUCAGAAGGGCAGAGAGGCAC
Molecule: long non-coding RNA, 347 nt
Filed under: Cricetulus griseus (Chinese hamster)
Lineage: Eukaryota; Metazoa; Chordata; Mammalia; Rodentia; Cricetidae
Description: lncRNA (ENSCGRG00015037316.1)
Source: RNAcentral